AAGAUUAUGAGUCAGGCGGAGAUUGCCGAGCCAGGCCAAAGGCGAUGGAUUUAGGGUCCAUUUCCGCAGGGAUUCGGGGGUUCGA
Molecule: transfer RNA, 85 nt
Filed under: Picrophilus oshimae DSM 9789
Lineage: Archaea; Methanobacteriati; Thermoplasmatota; Thermoplasmata; Thermoplasmatales; Picrophilaceae
Description: tRNA-Leu
Source: RNAcentral